AUGUGCUACCGUAUGUGAUUCGAAAAAUUUUUGUCGUUUACUCAGCACCGAUCACAAACUAUUUCACGAUUGUAAGAUGAGGUUUUGGCACGCGAAAUUUGGCAUUUGCAAUGGGUUUUCUUUCGUACUUUUCUAAAUGUUUCGAAUGUGAACUAGAAGAAGACCAAGACGAAGCAGAAGUAGAAGAAGAAGAGUGCAGUUAUAAUUUAUUUAGUUUUAUGUUUUUAGAUGCAAUUGAAUAAACAGAAAAUCAAUGCAAUAUAGCGAAAAAUUAAUAGAGCCAACAUGGUAUAUUUUCGGAUAGCGAAAUUCGGCUGUAGCAUAGUUAAUGCACCAAUAAACAAAU
Long non-coding RNA from Bradysia coprophila, 346 nucleotides. The record is from RefSeq and is a predicted model, not a curated record. Lineage: Eukaryota; Metazoa; Arthropoda; Insecta; Diptera; Sciaridae.